UACGGAGGUGGCAAGCGUUACUCGGAAUUAUUGGGUGUAAAGGGCAAGUAGGUGGCUUGGUAAGUGAGAGGUGAAAUACUCCGGCUCAAUCGGAGAACUGCCUUUCAUACUGCCUUGCUUGAGGAUGGUAGGGGGAAAUGGAAUUCCCGGUGUAAGGGUGAAAUCUGUAGAUAUCGGGAAGAACACCAGCGGCGAAGGCGAUUUCCUGGACCAUUCCUGACACUGAAUUGCGAAAGCUAGGGGAGCAAACAGA
RNAcentral lists this ribosomal RNA (253 nucleotides) under uncultured bacterium. RNAcentral describes it as "partial 16S ribosomal RNA". It matches the Rfam family "Bacterial small subunit ribosomal RNA", at positions 524 to 776 of the family's 1533-position model. The record is from RNAcentral.